UGCAUUUUGUGUUCAUUUUAUUUACGUAAUUUGAGUUUUCAUAACAUCACCACGUCUCCAGCAGUCUGUCUCGGCAAUCAGGACCUUCCAAAGACAUCCCCGUUCCACACAUUAAACCACAGCCAGCCAAAAGGGCUCAGGAUCAGUUCCAGAUUCCAGAUGCAGAUUGAGUCCAGCCCCAGCAAUGUGUCGAGUUGGCAGCCGGUGCGGGAAGCAGAGCAGCGCCAGCGUAGACAGUGCCACAACCUGGUGCUGUCGCUCUGUGGUGCUGAGUUGGCCAUGGAGAAGUGGCUGAGGAGAAGUGCCUGGUCAACCACAGUCUGCUCCUUUACGACCUAUAUAAUUUAUAGACUUUUGCAUUUUUUCGUGGUUUCAUCUUCUGGCCCGGACUUUCAUGUGUCGCCGACAGCUGGCAGUGUCGCCCCUCAAGUGCAUCCCCACUUAUAAUUUCAGUUUAUUGUUUUUCUCUGGGCUGGAUGCAUCGACUUCGGCUUGACCAAUGAGGUAAUCAAAAUUCAUCAGUAUUCAACUCGAGAACAAUGGAAGAUUUGUAACUGGGUGGAAAUGACUGUGACUGACUGACUGGCUUCUCUGGUGGGGACCGUGCAUUCCGCUCUUUCAGUGAUGCCAAGUCUGGUGCUUUCUGUACUCAUCUAGUCUUCAUGAGGCAGUGUAGUUCUGUGCAAUGAAUGAAGACUGUGUAAUAGUGACCCCGACAUCGUGCAACUGGGAACAAAAGAUAAGCAGCACAUAACUGGUAACACUGGAAAAUAAACAGAGUUUCUUGCAAUGUUCUUGUCAUGAAAUCAUUAUAGAAUUAUUUC
Schistocerca gregaria is the source of this 824-nucleotide long non-coding RNA. RefSeq lists it as uncharacterized. The record is from RefSeq and is a predicted model, not a curated record. The transcript has 3 exons. NCBI's taxonomy places the organism in Eukaryota, Metazoa, Arthropoda, Insecta, Orthoptera, Acrididae.